AUAAGGCUUACGUAGCUCCAAGAUGACCUAUUCCUUCUCCUUCUUCUUCUCCUUCUUCUUCUCUCCUCCGUCUUCUCCUUCUUCUUCUCUUCUUAUUUUCUUCUUCUUCUCCUCCUUCUCCUUCUCCUUCUCCUUCUCCUUCUCCUUCUCCUCCUCAUCCUCGUCCUCCUCCUUCUUUUUCUUCUCCUUCUUCUUCUCUUCUUGCUUCUUCUCUUUCUUCUUCUACGUCGCUUAUUUUCCCCCAACAAAAACAUACUUAGUUAA
This 264-nucleotide long non-coding RNA is filed under the name Hordeum vulgare. Its description in RNAcentral is "long non-coding RNA (HVUL_LNC019195)". Lineage: Eukaryota; Viridiplantae; Streptophyta; Magnoliopsida; Poales; Poaceae. The record is from RNAcentral.